Molecule: non-coding RNA, 140 nt
Filed under: Fragilariopsis kerguelensis
Lineage: Eukaryota; Bacillariophyta; Bacillariophyceae; Bacillariales; Bacillariaceae
Source: RNAcentral
AGUAUCAUAUAUGUAUGAAUUUAUGAAAUGAAAUGAAUGAAUCGAAAAGAGAAAGAAAACAUUAGAAAGAAUAAUUUAAAAAAUAAUCGUAGAUUUCCUCUUUUUUUGGUUAUUCCGUUUUUCAUUUUUGGCCUCAUUCA